RNAcentral lists this ribosomal RNA (219 nucleotides) under Staphylococcus aureus. RNAcentral's name for it is "partial 23S ribosomal RNA". It matches the Rfam family "Bacterial large subunit ribosomal RNA", at positions 2261 to 2479 of the family's 2925-position model. Lineage: Bacteria; Bacillati; Bacillota; Bacilli; Caryophanales; Staphylococcaceae. The record is from RNAcentral.
GCGGGCAGUUUGACUGGGGCGGUCGCCUCCUAAAAGGUAACGGAGGCGCUCAAAGGUUCCCUCAGAAUGGUUGGAAAUCAUUCAUAGAGUGGAAAGGCAUAAGGGAGCUUGACUGCGAGACCUACAAGUCGAGCAGGGUCGAAAGACGGACUUAGUGAUCCGGUGGUUCCGCAUGGAAGGGCCAUCGCUCAACGGAUAAAAGCUACCCCGGGGAUAACA